UUUUAGGUGUUCUGGUGUUCUGAACCAUAGGCAUGAGUAGACAAGCAAGUUUUACCUCAUGUCACCUGGAUGGAUGUCUCCAAGAUUUGAUAUGGAUGGACCUUUUCUGUGUAAGAGCCCACAUUAUCAGGACUUUUAAUAUGGGUAGCCUGAAAAUCCAAUCAUCAUGGAGCCAUUUCCUAGGAAAUUGAAUGACAUUGUCAACAAUAGCUGCCAUGGAAACCUGGGAAUCGGAAGCUGUUGUUUGGAAAUAGCUUCUGGUUACUGACCCCUAGCCUGGUCUCCUUUGAAUAUCCGCCAUACUUCUGGCACCACUGAAACCGGUUUAUCCAUCCAGACCGUGGCUCA
Mya arenaria is the source of this 348-nucleotide long non-coding RNA. RefSeq lists it as uncharacterized. Lineage: Eukaryota; Metazoa; Mollusca; Bivalvia; Myida; Myidae. The transcript has 3 exons. The record is from RefSeq and is a predicted model, not a curated record.